This 630-nucleotide ribosomal RNA is filed under the name uncultured bacterium. RNAcentral describes it as "bacterial SSU rRNA". It matches the Rfam family "Bacterial small subunit ribosomal RNA", at positions 56 to 726 of the family's 1533-position model. The record is from RNAcentral.
UGCAAGUCGUACGAGAGUUUUUAACUCAAGUGGCGGACGGGUGAGUAACACGUAAGAAUUUGCCUUUAGGAGGGGGACAACAACUGGAAACGGUUGCUAAUACCCCAUAUGCUUUCGAGUGAAAGGGUUUUUCCGCCUAGAGAGAAGCUUGCGGCUGAUUAGCUUGUUGGUAAGGUAAUGGCUUACCAAGGCGACGAUCAGUAUCUGGUUUGAGAGGACGAUCAGACACACUGGAACUGAGACACGGUCCAGACUCCUACGGGAGGCAGCAGUGGGGAAUUUUCCGCAAUGGGCGAAAGCCUGACGGAGCAAUACCGCGUGAGGGAUGAAUGCCUAUGGGUUGUAAACCUCUUUUUUCAGGGAGGAACAAAAUGACGUGUACCUGAAGAAUAAGCAUCGGCUAACUCCGUGCCAGCAGCCGCGGUAAGACGGAGGAUGCAAGUGUUAUCCGGAAUCACUGGGCGUAAAGCGUCUGUAGGUGGUUUAAUAAGUCAACUGUUAAAUCUCGAGGCUCAACUUCGAAACCGCAGUCGAAACUAUUAGACUAGAGUAUAGUAGGGGUAAAGGGAAUUUCCAGUGGAGCGGUGAAAUGCGUAGAGAUUGGAAAGAACACCGAUGGCGAAGGCACUU